GAUGAACGCUGGCGGCGUGCCUAAUACAUGCAAGUCGAGCGAACGGACGAGAAGCUUGCUUUUCUGAUGUUAGCGGCGGACGGGUGAGUAACACGUGGAUAACCUACCUAUAAGACUGGGAUAACUUCGGGAAACCGGAGCUAAUACUGGAUAAUAUUUUCAACCGCAUGGUUCAAAAGUGAAAGACGGUCUUGCUUUCACUUAUAGAUGGAUCCGCGCUGCAUUAGCUAGUUGGUAAGGUAACGGCUUACCAAGGCAACGAUGCAUAGCCGACCUGAGAGGGUGAUCGGCCACACUGGAACUGAGACACGGACCAGACUCCUACGGGAGGCAGCAGUAGGGAAUCUUCCGCAAUGGGCGAAAGCCUGACGGAGCAACGCGGCGUGAGUGGUGAAGGUCUUCGGAUCGUAAAACUCUGUUAUGAGGGAAGAACAUAUGUGUAAGUAACUGUACACAUCUUGACGGUACCUAAUCAGAAAGCCACGGCUAACUACGUG
This 497-nucleotide ribosomal RNA is filed under the name uncultured bacterium. RNAcentral's name for it is "partial 16S ribosomal RNA". It matches the Rfam family "Bacterial small subunit ribosomal RNA", at positions 28 to 507 of the family's 1533-position model. The record is from RNAcentral.